GCCGAUGUAGCUCAAUUGGCAGAGCAGCUGACUUGUAAUCAGCAGGUUGCGGGUUCAAGUCCCACCAUCGGCUCCA
RNAcentral lists this transfer RNA (76 nucleotides) under Bacillota bacterium. RNAcentral's name for it is "tRNA-Thr". It matches the Rfam family "tRNA". Rfam says of the family: Transfer RNA (tRNA) molecules are approximately 80 nucleotides in length. RNAcentral also lists the same sequence under 1 other name. The record is from RNAcentral. Lineage: Bacteria; Bacillati; Bacillota.